AAGGUACUUCCUGUGCAAUAGA
Molecule: microRNA, 22 nt
Filed under: Monodelphis domestica (gray short-tailed opossum)
Lineage: Eukaryota; Metazoa; Chordata; Mammalia; Didelphimorphia; Didelphidae
Description: mdo-miR-7371o-3p
Source: miRBase by way of RNAcentral